RNAcentral lists this long non-coding RNA (1436 nucleotides) under Equus asinus (donkey). RNAcentral describes it as "lncRNA (ENSEASG00005035640.1)". The record is from RNAcentral. Lineage: Eukaryota; Metazoa; Chordata; Mammalia; Perissodactyla; Equidae.
GGCUGAGGGAGGGAGAGUCCUGCCUCCCCUUCUGGGUGGUGUGGGGGUGUUUUGUAUAUCGCGGUGGCCGGGGUGACCAUCCUGCCAGGAGCACAGGCAUGUGAUCCUCUCAGCAACCCAGUGAGUCAUGUAGCAUGACCCUCAUCUCACAAAUGAAGAAAAAGAAGCCCUAAGAGGUGCCUUUUGCUCAAGGUCACAGAGCUGACUGUCUUUGUAAUGGGAGAAGAUGCUCUAAGAACCCAGGAGCUAUGGUGAAAUCCUAAAGGCCAAUGUGAUGGUCUUGGAGGUACUUACACUUUCAAUAACCUGCAUAUGGAUUUCAACGCUAUUUAAUUAAGCCUUAAACCUAUAAAAAUGCACAUUUAAUACUCAAGUAAGCCCCUGACGUGUUCCCUCUGAAGAUAAACAGGUAGGAGGUUUCUGCAGUCAACCUAAAGCACACCUGAUUCUGGAGCAUGGGAGGGAAAUUAUGUCUGUUGUGGUCUGCAAAGGAGGCUGAGGUCUGAGGAAACAUCCAGGGUGUCCCACUAGGUCCCAUGCGUGCUCAUGGACUGGCCCCAAGUCCUCGUAAUAUCCAAGAGAUGUCAGUGCCCCUUCAGAGCCUCCAGAAGCUGCUCUGGCUGUGAACCUGUUCUCUUCCUCACUCCUCUUGCCUCAGUUCUCCUGAAAAGCAAGCAUGUUGCUGAGGGGCAGCCUAAUUGAGGUGGACUCAGAUGAAGAUCUACCUGGAAAGAGCCUAGAACUGAGAAUCUGGGGACCUGCCGUUUAGUCCUGGUGCUUUCCUAAACUCACCGUGCAACCUUGAACAAGUACUUUACUCUCUAGGCUUCUGUUUCAUCAUCUGUGAAACAAGGGAGCUAUGUCUUUGGGUCUCAGGUUCUGUGGAGCAAGGCCAAGGACAAGCAGUGGGGUGGGAAAUAGCUCCCUCACCUUUACUGAAAGGCAUAUUCCAGCCGUUCUUUAAGAAUGGUGUUGUACAAGCUAAUGAUGCCUGAUUCUGCGACUGUGCAACCUGGAAUUGGCAGUCAGGAGGUCUACACCCGGGAGAUACUGGGAAGCAGCGGAGACGUUAACUUGGAGAUAGCAAAGCUCUGAGCUUCCUUCAGAGGGGAGUGGAGAGGGGUCCUUCCGCAGAGGAGCCGCUGUCCCUGGAGCCUGUCAGAAUAGUUUAUUUAUAUAAAAUCAAACUCUGGUCUUUGGUCUUAGUGGUAAGGAACUUCCUCCCACAAAACAAGACAAAACAAAACAGAACAAAAACAAAACAAGGAUGUGGUGGUCUCCGUUUGAAGAAAUCAAGGUGAACUGGAGAAGUUUGAGGACCCUAGAGGGGAAAUAGGGGAGGUUGAGGAGUUAUCAAUAACUUAUUAACGUUAUUUAUAAGUUACCUUAUCAAUAAGGUAAAACGUGUCCAAUUAGAACAACACAAGUGACCAGAC